RNAcentral lists this unclassified non-coding RNA (146 nucleotides) under uncultured bacterium. Its description in RNAcentral is "partial 16S-23S ribosomal RNA intergenic spacer". The record is from RNAcentral.
CUAAGGAUGUUUCCACCAGAGGUCAGCUUGCUGAUCGCUACAGGAAACACUUAGCAGGACCUAGUCAUAGGUCCAUCAACGCGGCCAGGCCGUCCUCAUAUCCCUUCACAGACAAGCGGAAUGCAGCUGCGUUCCUUGCGGGGCCU